This 253-nucleotide ribosomal RNA is filed under the name uncultured bacterium. RNAcentral's name for it is "partial 16S ribosomal RNA". It matches the Rfam family "Bacterial small subunit ribosomal RNA", at positions 524 to 776 of the family's 1533-position model. The record is from RNAcentral.
UACGUAGGGGGCUAGCGUUGUCCGGAUUUAUUGGGCGUAAAGAGCGUGUAGGCGGCCAGGUAGGUCUGCUGUGAAAACUCGAGGCUCAACCUCGAGACGUCGGCGGAAACCAUCUGGCUAGAGUCCGGGAGAGGAGAGUGGAAUUCCUGGUGUAGCGGUGAAAUGCGCAGAUAUCAGGAAGAACACCCGUGGCGAAAGCGGCUCUCUGGAACGGUACUGACGCUGAGACGCGAAAGCGUGGGGAGCGAACAGG